This is a non-coding RNA of Cinara cedri, 314 nucleotides long. The record is from the annotation of a GenBank genome assembly. Lineage: Eukaryota; Metazoa; Arthropoda; Insecta; Hemiptera; Aphididae.
GGUGCAGAUCGUUGGACACGGUAAUAUGUACGAUGUGCGUGACCGAAUAGCGAGUGUUGAUUCGAAUAUAAUUACCUACGAUGUUUGACGCAAUACGCAGGGUCAUAUUAUAUUUAUAGGACACUGUGGGAUAUUUUCACCGGGGUAGAUUGACUCACAGAGAAUUCGGCAAUUUUCCCGAUGAAAUGGACACCAUAGGCGCCAUUUCACAUUUGUUUACGGUAUGCAAAACGAAUAUUGAAAAUUCAAUAGUAAAGCCGCUCGCUUUGAUCGCGUACCACAUAAUGGACAAAAUGAAUACAUUUACAUAUAAA